CAGCCGCCGCGGGAAUACGAAGGGGGCUAGCGUUGCUCGGAAUGACUGGGCGUAAAGGGCGCGUAGGCGGCGAUCAAAGUCAGGCGUGAAAUUCCUGGGCUCAACCUGGGGGCUGCGCUUGAUACUUGGUUGCUUGAGUGGGGAAGAGGGUCGUGGAAUUCCCAGUGUAGAGGUGAAAUUCGUAGAUAUUGGGAAGAACACCGGUGGCGAAGGCGGCGACCUGGUCCAUUACUGACGCUGAGGCGCGAAAGCGUGGGGAGCAAACAGGAUUAGAGACCCGUGUAGUCCCUGUCUCUUAUAC
Molecule: ribosomal RNA, 301 nt
Filed under: uncultured bacterium
Lineage: Bacteria
Description: partial 16S ribosomal RNA
Rfam family: Bacterial small subunit ribosomal RNA
Source: RNAcentral